ACCUCCUAUGUGGGUCUUUGAGAAGCACAAGUCUUCUGCAGCUGACAAACCCUGCCGCCCACAGUUCCACACACACAGUCAACACAGUCCUGCCCCGUGUGAGCGCCCCGACCUCCCCAAGCGGACCCAGUCUCUCCACAGCGGGAGCCCCACACACUCCGCCACCGCCCCACACUCUCCACCCGCUCCUUGUGCACACUCUGCCCCGCUCAAGUCGGCUCAGUUGCCAGGCUGCAGAGAAUCCAGUCACCAAUCUAUGCAGGCCCACAAGUUGCCUGAGGGCUUGUUGUUGGGUGGGGCCAGUCUCUAGGGUGGGCUGCCUGCCCCGGCUGAGCUGGAUUAAAUCGGUGCUCUAGUGGGUGGGGCAGACCCUGGGCUAGCAGGCCUCAGGGAGAACUCCAAUGGCAUCUGUGUCAGCACGCCCACACCAGGCCACAACAAUGGCCACCGCCAAUGUCCCAGUCCCUGGAGAGGUCUCACCCCUCACCGAGAUGCACUCAGGGCCUAUUAGUGUCUACAACACUGCCUGGAAUGAAGUAGAUUUUCCAUAAACUUUGCUGUGUGAUUGGAAGAACGAAUAAAUAAAGCAAUUUGGAUUCUAGCAGCUGUUUGAGUGGACACCACUGAUUAUCUCUACAUGUCUCCAUUCUGCACCAAUCAUUCUGGACACUGACCCAUAGAAUAGAUCGAAUGACUCCUUUGACCUCCAGCUUCUGGUUGGGAUCACUAGGAGGCUUUGGCAGGAGAUCUUGAAGGUAUGAGCUUUUCAAGUUUCAGGGCAAUGCAUCUCAACGCCGACCAUGUAUUAGAAUCACCUGGGGAGUUUUAAAAACUACCAACGAUUGGUUCCACCUGCAGACCAAUUAAAUCAGACUUGAUUACGUUUUACAUUUUCAGCUUCCAGUCCUGAAUGACUUAGAUAUAACAUCUCAUUUUAUGAUCCAAAAACGCUGAGCUGGAGUCAGAAGGAAAGGUGACUAUGGAAGAAUGGUCAGAGAGAUGCAAGAUUGCUGGCUUUGAAGUUGGGGAACAGGGCCAGGAGGCAAGGAAUGUUGGAAACUUCUAGAAGCUGGAAAAGGUAAGGAAACAAACUCUCUUCUAGAUCAUCCAGGAAGAACUAUAACCCUGCGUACUUCUUGAUUUUAGCAUGGUAAGACCUGAAUUGGACUUCUACAGAACUCGGAGGUAAAAUUUUGUGUUAAGCUAUCAGGUUUGUUGUAACUUUUUACAGCAGCAAUAGAAAAAUUGUGCAUGGUGUAUUUUGGCCAUACAGCUAUCAUGUUUGUAUAUGUAACUGGUAAACUUAUUAAUUCAAUAAAUAUUUCUUGAUAAUAAUUAUGACGAUAGCUAGGAGAAAUAAUAUCAGACUUGGAGAUAAAAGUCUUGGUACCUCAUACUUUCAUGUGCAAAAGAAUUGACAUGGUUUUUAUUUUAAAAUGCUGAUUCAUGGUAUCUAUAUCAAGAAUUUCUGAUUCAGAAGUUCUAGAGCAGGAUCCCGAUGGAGAUGCGAGAUGGAAUAGUCACUUUAGGAAAUGGUUUAGAAUUUGGAAACCCAAAUGUUCAUCAUCUGCCAAAUGAAUUGGAUGUAACACACCCAUACAAUGGAAUACUUCUCAGAAAUAAAAAAAUUGCAAACUACUAAUAAAUGCAGUGAUAUGUAUGAAUCUCAAAGUCAUUAAUAUUAAAGUGAUUAGACAUAAAAGGCAAUAUAUGGUAUGUUUCCACUUAUAGGAUACUCUGAAAAAGGAAAAACUGAAGAAAAGGACAGAAUCAUAUCAAAAUUGCCAAAGGCUGGGGGUUGAUGGAGGGGAUUGAUUGCAAUUGAUUGCAGAGUGGUGAGAGAACUUUGUAGGAUGAUAAAAAUGUUUUAUCUUUAUUUGGUGGUGGUUGUAAGACAGUAUAUAUUUGUGAAAACUCAUUGAACUUUACACUUAAAGAGGGUGAACUUUACUAUAUGUAAAUUAUACCUUAGUAAAUCUGGCUUUUAAAAAAAUGUCUGUUUAGCUAUGUCUUACUCAGUCUUUCACAGAACUUAGUUAAAACUGAAAUGUCCUUUUAAGUCAAACUACAACCAUCUCACUCAGUAUAGGAGAUAUUGAGCUCAUAAAUUUCAGGGCAAGGUACAGAAACCAAGUUCUUUCACUUGACUCUCAACCAAGUACUAAUUAAGCCGUAAAACCCCAAUGAAAAUAAAAUAAUAGGAAUUCUCAUGAGGCUCUAAAAGGACUCAACUCUGAUCCAAUUUUCAAACUAUAUCCAAAGAGAGCCAUGAAUUUCAGAUAAUAGUGUGCGUAAAGACUAUCCCGCCCCAACUCAUCUUCCAAAAAAUGAGAAAAAAAAAUUACCAGAAUGUUGUAAAGGAACCUCUGAAUUCAUCUUUUUCUUCUGUGAAUCCACUUGGUUUUGUAGUAUGAGUUCAUUUCCUUUCCUAUGAAUUCUCACAAUUAAAAAUGUUCUUGUUAAGACAUGGAGAGGAAUCUUAUCUCUAGCAAAACAAUAGACUGAUUUUUAAAAUAAAAUCACUUUAAAAUGACUAAAAUUGAUAUCAUAUAAAGGACUAGGGAUUCUGUUUAGUGGCUUUUAGUUUUUAAAAAGCCUGAGAUCUUGCACAAAAUAUAUUGAUAUAUUUUAAAAUACUCAU
Diceros bicornis minor is the source of this 2641-nucleotide long non-coding RNA. RefSeq lists it as uncharacterized. The transcript has 7 exons. NCBI's taxonomy places the organism in Eukaryota, Metazoa, Chordata, Mammalia, Perissodactyla, Rhinocerotidae. The record is from RefSeq and is a predicted model, not a curated record.